This 242-nucleotide long non-coding RNA is filed under the name Lathyrus oleraceus (garden pea). Its description in RNAcentral is "Pisum sativum (pea) long non-coding RNA (PSAT_LNC030040)". The record is from RNAcentral. Lineage: Eukaryota; Viridiplantae; Streptophyta; Magnoliopsida; Fabales; Fabaceae.
AAUGACCUAAAGGUUUUAUUAAGUUUGCUCGCCAAAAUUUCACGGUCAUGUGCCUACGUAUCCUUAUAAGGACGGAAUCAGAGCAACCGUAGUUCACCUAAUUAUGGGUGAAAGAAUACUUGAUAGUGAUCAAGGUUCCAAAGGGGGAAGUAAAUGUUCAUAAUAAACAUACUAACAAGAGUUACAAACUCUUACUUAAAUCUAAGUUUAAAGUGAAAAUGACUCUAACAAGGUCAAAGAGG